GUCUAUGGCCAUGCUACCGUGAACAAGCCCGAUCCCUUCUGAUCUUGGAAGCUAAGCAGGGUCUGGCCUGGUUAGUACUUUGAUGGGAGGCCACCUAGAAAGACCAGGUGCUGUAGAUG
This 119-nucleotide ribosomal RNA is filed under the name Pteropus alecto (black flying fox). Lineage: Eukaryota; Metazoa; Chordata; Mammalia; Chiroptera; Pteropodidae. The record is from RNAcentral.